CACGUAGGGCGCGAGCGUUGUCCGGAAUUAUUGGGCGUAAAGAGCUCGUAGGCGGCCUGUUGCGUCCGCUGUGAAGGCCCGGGGCUUAACCCCGGGUCGGCAGUGGAUACGGGCAGGCUAGAGGUAGGUAGGGGAGAACGGAAUUCCCGGUGUAGCGGUGAAAUGCGCAGAUAUCGGGAGGAACACCGGUGGCGAAGGCGGUUCUCUGGGCCUGUACUGACGCUGAGGAGCGAAAGCGUGGGGAGCGAACAGG
Molecule: ribosomal RNA, 253 nt
Filed under: uncultured bacterium
Lineage: Bacteria
Description: partial 16S ribosomal RNA
Rfam family: Bacterial small subunit ribosomal RNA
Source: RNAcentral